This 24-nucleotide small RNA is filed under the name Arabidopsis thaliana (thale cress). Its description in RNAcentral is "ATSL074880". Lineage: Eukaryota; Viridiplantae; Streptophyta; Magnoliopsida; Brassicales; Brassicaceae. The record is from RNAcentral.
AAGAACAGAGGGCUGCCAACAAGA